Molecule: transfer RNA, 76 nt
Filed under: Candidatus Latescibacterota bacterium
Lineage: Bacteria; Pseudomonadati; Candidatus Latescibacterota
Description: tRNA-His
Rfam family: tRNA
About the family: Transfer RNA (tRNA) molecules are approximately 80 nucleotides in length. Their secondary structure includes four short double-helical elements and three loops (D, anti-codon, and T loops).
Source: RNAcentral
GUGGACGUAGCUCAGUUGGUAGAGCCCUGGAUUGUGGUUCCAGCUGUCGCGGGUUCAAAUCCCGUCGUCCACCCCA